AUGGUUAAGUUAGAAAGGGCGCACGGUGAAUGCCUUGGCACUAGGAGCCGAUGAAGGACGGGACUAACACCGAUAUGCUUCGGGGAGCUGUAAGUGAGCUUUGA
Molecule: ribosomal RNA, 104 nt
Filed under: Priestia megaterium
Lineage: Bacteria; Bacillati; Bacillota; Bacilli; Caryophanales; Bacillaceae
Description: Bacillus megaterium partial 23S ribosomal RNA
Rfam family: Bacterial large subunit ribosomal RNA
Source: RNAcentral